GAAAACAUUUCCACAGCCCUUAUCCUUUGCAUUAGAUGCUGAACUCCUGGCACUUUUUAAUACUUUUAUGACAAAAUUUUUAGUAAUCUUUGCUUCAUUGGUAGCUGGCUAGAGAAGUAAAUUUGCUGUCUUCUGUAUUUUUCUGAAGAGCGAAAGAGUCGUAACAAAUACUCUUUCAAAAUAUCUCCUUUCACUGAGUAACUAAAAGGCUGCUUCUAUUUUUCUUCUUCAUAUUGGAAACAAGAAAAUAGGUACAGCUCAGGUGGAGGUUUUCCCAGCACUGUUUCUUAUCUUGGACAUCUGGUUCGUCAUGCCUGAAGGAAACUCUAAGCAUAAGGCAAGCGCAGAAUGAUGUUUCCACUGAAAUUGAAUUCAGCAUCUAGGAAACUAUAUGAUGUGGGCACUUUCUGAGCAGGUGGUUAGCUUAUCCUUCAGAUUGUUCAAUGCCCAACAGAAACAGAUGUGAUCCACAAGGAUUCCUGCCAGUACCGAUAGGAGCAACAUUGUGGCCAUAGUUCAUGACCCCCCAUUAGCCCAACUCUUGGACACAUGAGCAUCUACAUGACGCACCUUUACAAACACAUUCUUUAUUCGGGCAGCAGCAAUGAGGAACAGCAGAGUGGAAGUGCCAAUUUAAAUCUACGUGAAAGCAAAGAGGAAAGGAAUGCAGCAGCAAGUACUAACCCAGUCCUGAACUCCCCUGGGAACCUGUGGGAACACAAAGCUGGAACCUCCCAUCCUGUCAGUGAUAACUACACCUUGUCUGUGCAAAUGCUGACUCUGAUUAUCUGUGUUGCAUGAUCUGUAUUCCAUAAUAAAGUAAUGU
Molecule: long non-coding RNA, 826 nt
Organism: Gallus gallus (chicken)
Lineage: Eukaryota; Metazoa; Chordata; Aves; Galliformes; Phasianidae
Source: Ensembl